The sequence is a transfer RNA, 72 nucleotides long. It matches the Rfam family "tRNA". Rfam says of the family: Transfer RNA (tRNA) molecules are approximately 80 nucleotides in length. Their secondary structure includes four short double-helical elements and three loops (D, anti-codon, and T loops). The record is from Rfam.
UCCCUGGUAGUAUAGUGGUCAGAAUCCCUCCCUGUCACGGAGGAGGCCGGGGUUCAAUUCCCCGCCGGGGAG